AUGAUACAUUUAAAUGAAUCAGAGAGUUACACAUCGUAGAAUAAGGACCCGUUUUCUUUAAUUAACAGUUGCCUGUAGCUCUUAUUAACCUUUAGGUGGUAUACUGGUACUGCCAACCUUGUAACAUAUCCCGCAUCGAUUAAUGAAUGGUGAAAAAGAGAGCAUAACGUUAGGUGUGAAUUCAGAAACUUAACGGCAUAUAUGACAUUUUGGAAAUCAUAUCGGAAAUAUUCUAACACUACCUGGCAACUACGUUAAUCAUUUUACUUAGAGUCCAACAUUUUUUUGGACGAUUCGAAAAUAAUCAUGGUGUGUCAGCUUUGAGUAUGACUACCUAUAGGUUAAGUCAUUAGUAGAGUUUCGCCUCUUCACGUAUCGAGAAUAAUAUUAUACAUCAUAUUAUGUCGCCCACCAAUUAAUCAACGCCUUGUUCCUGGUGUUCCGUUAUAAGGGAUUAAUGUCAUGCGAACUAAUGUUACGUCACAGCGCAUUGAACAGCCGCCGCGAACAAAUGUGAUUCUGACGUACACGAGCUAUCGAUCGCUAUUAGCAAUAGUAUUUUUUAUUUUCGAGUGAUAAUAUUAUCGCUACAAUGAGUUUAGCCAAUGAAGAACGUAUGGUAGUAUUUGAUAUUGUGGGCAGAACCGGAUAAUGUCACAAAAAGCGAAGAUGAAAAGAGCGUUUGUGCAUGGGUUUCUUGGCGGUUAAGGUAGACAUUUUGCAUGAUGUUUCGUGUCCAGAUGAUAUUACUAGUGAAGGUAAAAGCCCUUUUCCGUUAAUAAAUAAUGGUGGCGGUGUUGUGAUUAUGCGAAUAUUGUUAUAAUAAGUGAGGGUGAAGCGGAAAACGUUGAUAUAAAAGAGAAGUAGUGACAGGGGGGGGGGGGGGGGACAUCUCAUCACGAUUCCGGUGACAGUGACACGACGGAUGGUGAGUAGUGGGUGCUUCCCUGUGGCAUUGAUAGUGAUGCAGAAUGUGAUGGUCCAUCCCCUUGUGCCUUUAGCAGCCCCAUGCUUGUGGUAUGAGUGCCACACCCAUCCAGUUUGGAAGCCAGUGACACCUGCAACUCUGGUCAAAGUCCUGUGGUACCUUUUAUCGGCCUAGUGAGGGUGAACACAACACCCCGUACCGCAGGAAAAAGGAGGAAAAUGGUGUUAAUAGACUAGAGACAUCAGUUCUUAAUGGUGGUAAAUUGCAUAAAAAAACAUUGUCCUGUCCUACGAAAGCUUAGUUAGGAUGACUGGUACUAAGAAAACUGCUCCAGACACUGCAGUGGCAAACCAACCCCUAACUGCCACUGUUUUGGCUUCCACCUCAGUGAGUGGCCCUCGAAAGCUUCCGUUGCCAUCGACGGAUGGCUUGCUGGAACAGAAGUCUCUCCCCUCCAACAAGAAUUAUAGCCACAGCGUAAUGAAAUGCCUAUGGCUUCAGUGAAGCAGUGUCCUGAAGGCUGCCAAAUUCAGUAACGACGAAUGGGUCUGUCACUUGGGACUUUCUCGGUAGACAUAUUCAAUGCUACGAACGCAAAUUGUGGUGAGGUCUUUUUGACAUCACCCUCCUCUCUCACUCCCUUUUUGAUGGCCUCUGCUUGAUUAUGGAUUGAUACAACUGACUACUCUGCAAAAAUAAUAAGCAAGAUUGAAACUUCUCAAGUCUUGAUGUCAAGGUGACAGAAACUAAGCCAAUUCCAACAGCAAUAUUUACGACUACGACGACGACAACUGAGGUUACAUCUGAAGUGACAACUAGCGUGUCAACUACGGUAACGGAAAUACCCUGCACAUCAGCGGACGGGACCUUGCACCACCUGUAUCAAAGCUGGGAAGAGAACUGCCAAACCUGUUCUUGCGAAUACAGUUAUUGGGAUAACCGCAUCGUUAAGAAUUGCUACAAUUUUUUGUAUCAUCAGUACUGUUCCGCAAAACCUCACAGAGAUUGUGUCGUCGUUGGAACAUACAAUUCGGGAUGCUGCGAUGAAUAUUUUUGUGACAAUACAACAUGCAGAUCGGACAGGGGUCAGUACUACGCCAUUGGGGACACCUGGAGCCCAGCCGACGAGCCUUGCAAGAAGUGCACCUGUCAGGCGGACGGAGACGCCACCAAAACCGAAUGUGUGGCCAGAAACUGCCCCAAUCCCCCAGGCCCCAAUUGUC
Molecule: long non-coding RNA, 2151 nt
Organism: Macrobrachium nipponense
Lineage: Eukaryota; Metazoa; Arthropoda; Malacostraca; Decapoda; Palaemonidae
Exons: 4
Source: RefSeq, a predicted model, not a curated record